GACGAACGCUGGCGGCGUGCUUAACACAUGCAAGUCGAACGGAAAGGCCCUGCUUUUGUGGGGUGCUCGAGUGGCGAACGGGUGAGUAACACGUGAGUAACCUGCCCUUGACUUUGGGAUAACUUCAGGAAACUGGGGCUAAUACCGGAUAGGAGCUCCUGCUGCAUGGUGGGGGUUGGAAAGUCUCGGCGGUUGGGGAUGGACUCGCGGCUUAUCAGCUUGUUGGUGGGGUAGUGGCUUACCAAGGCUUUGACGGGUAGCCGGCCUGAGAGGGUGACCGGCCACAUUGGGACUGAGAUACGGCCCAGACUCCUACGGGAGGCAGCAGUGGGGAAUAUUGCACAAUGGGCGGAAGCCUGAUGCAGCAACGCCGCGUGCGGGAUGACGGCCUUCGGGUUGUAAACCGCUUUCGCCUGUGACGAAGCGUGAGUGGCGGUAAUGGGUAAAGAAGCACCGGCUAACUACGUG
RNAcentral lists this ribosomal RNA (468 nucleotides) under uncultured bacterium. RNAcentral describes it as "partial 16S ribosomal RNA". It matches the Rfam family "Bacterial small subunit ribosomal RNA", at positions 28 to 507 of the family's 1533-position model. The record is from RNAcentral.